CUGUAUGAUGAUCAAAACGACACCAGGGAUUCCUCAUUCUUAAUAUAUAAUGUCGAUACUGUUGUAUUUAGUUUCAGCCUUGUCUGACU
Molecule: small nucleolar RNA, 89 nt
Organism: Fusarium langsethiae
Lineage: Eukaryota; Fungi; Ascomycota; Sordariomycetes; Hypocreales; Nectriaceae
Rfam family: A. fumigatus snoRNA Afu_455
Source: Rfam